RNA transcript from Acipenser ruthenus (sterlet), 1245 nucleotides. It is a transcript of the gene named F-box/LRR-repeat protein 15-like, with no coding region annotated. Lineage: Eukaryota; Metazoa; Chordata; Actinopteri; Acipenseriformes; Acipenseridae. The transcript has 4 exons. The record is from RefSeq and is a predicted model, not a curated record.
AAAUAGAGAUGCACGCAAAUCUGGAAAGCAGUACUUAUAUUUUUCAUUGUGUUACAGUACAAAAUCCAGUCCAUCGGUGAUCUGUUAGCUGAGAUGGAAGGAAGUGCGAUCUGCAGAUCUCAUCUGUUGCUGCUGGUAUCACCUCUUGGACUUGCCAUGGGAGGAUGUUCUGGUGCCACAUGUGUUCUGCUUCUUACCAAUGUGCCACCUAGUGAGCUUGCAGAGAGUUAGCAAGCAGUUUCAAGCCCUCAUCCCGGUCUACUUGGCCAACUGCUGCUCUUUUGACCUCUCUCAGACUGAUGUUUGCAGGCUGGUCCUUGCAUACCCAAGCAAAUGGGGCUGGAGUCCAUCAACCUGAUUGCCUGUCGGCAGCUCAAAGAUGAGGCCGUCUGCUACCUGGCCAAGAAGUGCCUCAAGCUGAAGUCGUUGUCAGUGGCAGUCAACACAAAUAUCAGCGAUGUCUCUGUAGAGGUGGGGGCCAAGAACUGUCCUCAAAUGGAGCACCUGGAUCUCACUGGAUGCCUUAGGGAAAUAAUGAGUCCAUCAGGUUAUCAAGUGAAGUACAGCAAUUGAAGAUUCAUUCGUUUCAAAAGACGAAAGUUAUAUAUUUGUGCUGGCACAUGAGUAGAAAAUAUUGUGACUUGUUAAAAAUGCACUCUCAUUAGUAAAUAUAGUACAAAUGUACAGACGAUUUAAUCCAGCAUAGACUGUACAAGUUUAAUUGUAUCUUACAUUACCAGCAUUAUUUAUCGUUAAAUUAUCUGUUUAGAUAGCUCAUGACACAUGUGUAAUCUGUGUUAACAGUUCAACAUUCAUAACCCACUGCAGUGGCUUAUUUCCUUUGAACAUCGAUACACUGCCUGGAUGAUAAUGACAAAAUGGACAUUGACUUUGUGCAUGACACCCAAUGUGGCUAUUAAUGAGCAUUAUACUCUUGCAUGGCGCUGUGCAGAACUGCAGGGAUGUGGUCUUCAGAGUUAAUCAUUUUAACCUUACAAUGUAAACAGUUCAUUAUUUUAAAUAAAACAGCAUAGGUAAAACACUUUUUUUUUUUAAAACCUCAGAUUAACUACAAAUUACAGGAGAAGGAUGGACUGGGUGAAGUAAAUCAAAUAUGUGGCUACUUGGUUAUUUGGCGUUAAUUUAUUUUUUCUUCAUUUUUAAAAAUUGAUAUUUUUUAGGUUUGACUUUGUGAGUUGUGGUUUAACCAAUAAAAACAAAACAUUACAUUGAAGGUAUCUAAAA